This 374-nucleotide ribosomal RNA is filed under the name uncultured organism. RNAcentral describes it as "partial 16S ribosomal RNA". It matches the Rfam family "Bacterial small subunit ribosomal RNA", at positions 527 to 896 of the family's 1533-position model. The record is from RNAcentral.
GUAGGUGGCAAGCGUUGUCCGGAAUUAUUGGGGCGUAAAGCGCGCGCAGGCGGUUCUUUAAGUCUGAUGUGAAAGCCCACGGGCUCAACCGUGGAGGGUCAUUGGAAGCUGGAGAACUUGAGUACAGAAGAGGAAAGCGGAAUUCCACGUGUAGCGGUGAAAUGCGUAGAGAUGUGGAGGAACACCAGUGGCGAAGGCGGCUUUCUGGUCUGUAACUGACGCUGAGGCGCGAAAGCGUGGGGAGCAAACAGGAUUAGAUACCCUGGUAGUCCACGCCGUAAACGAUGAGUGCUAAGUGUUAGGGGGUUUCCGCCCCUUAGUGCUGCAGCUAACGCAUUAAGCACUCCGCCUGGGGAGUACGGCCGCAAAGGCUG